Molecule: long non-coding RNA, 251 nt
Filed under: Setaria viridis
Lineage: Eukaryota; Viridiplantae; Streptophyta; Magnoliopsida; Poales; Poaceae
Description: long non-coding RNA (SVIR_LNC003955)
Source: RNAcentral
GAAGGGGGAAAUGAGCAGCGUUAGUUUAAUUUCAAAACUGUUUGAACUAUGAUAUUAUUUAUAUUUAAUAUAAUAAAAUAAGAUCCGAUAUGAAUAUGUUUUCAAUUUUUUUUAAAUAUUCAACAUUUUCGGCAAGCUAUUUCAACAUUUUGCAUAUAUUGCUUCAACAUUUACAUGAAAAUGUUGAAAUGAGCUUUACAAAAUGUUGAACUAGGCUUAAAGAAAUGUUGAAUUUAUGUUUUGAAAUGUUG